Molecule: long non-coding RNA, 630 nt
Organism: Myzus persicae (green peach aphid)
Lineage: Eukaryota; Metazoa; Arthropoda; Insecta; Hemiptera; Aphididae
Exons: 3
Source: RefSeq, a predicted model, not a curated record
GUAAUAUAUAUACAGCAGUGUAGGUACCUAACUAAGGCUCUCACAUAAAGUUUGAAAGUGUGUCAUCCGCCGUUGAAAAACGACUGUGUUUCAACUGUGCUUUGUCGAAAACUAUACCAAGUCCAAAAAUAAUUUUAAAAUCAUCAUUCAAUAAUCUCAACGAUUUGGAGUUUAGUUUGAAAGAAUACAAUGAAGUAAAAAAACUAAAGCACAGAACUAAACUGAUUGGGAUUUUUAAAUGUAACGAGAAUUCUAGUAAAUCAUUUAUUUAUUGAAACAGAUUAAAUUACUGAAUAUCAAGAGUACUCAUUGGCUGACUUGCAAUGUAGUCUGGCAAUUGACAAUAACAGAUAUUAUUUAUUAUCCGGAACAGUUUUUUAUGAACAUGAUCAUUAUAUUAUAGCGUAUGUACACCGCGUAAAUAGACGGGAAGUGCACAAAGAUUUGGCAAAAAAAACUAAAAGUUCCUCUAAUUCAACAAAAAUAUAAUCAGAUGUAAUUUUAUAUGUGAAAGAGUAAGAAAAAAUGACACGUACAUUGGUACAAAAGUCAACUAUAGCAAUAAGAGAUGUCUUUUUUUUAAUUAAACAAAAAGGUUAUAUUUUAUUAUUUUUAAAUUUAUAAUAAGCG